Molecule: ribosomal RNA, 443 nt
Filed under: uncultured bacterium
Lineage: Bacteria
Description: partial 16S ribosomal RNA
Rfam family: Bacterial small subunit ribosomal RNA
Source: RNAcentral
CCUACGUGGGGCAGCAGUGGGGAAUAUUGGGCAAUGGAGGAAACUCUGACCCAGCAAUGCCGCGUGAAUGAAGAAGGUCUUCGGAUUGUAAAGUUCUUUAGUCAGGGAAGAAUAAAUGACGGUACCAAAGGAAUAAGCCCCGGCUAACUACGUGCCAGCAGCCGCGGUAAUACGUAGGGGGCAAGCGUUGUUCGGAAUGACUGGGCGUAAAGGGUGUGUAGGUGGUUUGAUAAGUUAGAUGUGUAAUACCCAGGGCUUAACUCGGGUGCUGCAUCUAAAACUGUUAGACUUGAGUACUGGAGAGGAUAGUGGAAUUCCUAGUGUAGCGGUGGAAUGCGUAGAUAUUAGGAGGAACAUCAGUGGCGAAGGCGACUAUCUGGACAGCAACUGACACUGAGGCACGAAAGCGUGGGGAGCAAACAGGAUUAGAUACCCCUGUAGUC